CUCCAUAGCAGCAAAGAAAAAAAACUGUUAACGAAAGAACCAAUCAGAGUGAGUCAGAGUGUAUAUAAGUCCAAGCAUGACCAAUCAUUUCCUCUUGACUAAUGCGACAUCACAAAUUCAUAGUAUAACAAACAUGUCUGAUUCAAAUUGAUCCAACUUAAUCCAACAUGGAAACCAGUAAGGAAUACAGUCUUCUCCAUCAUCCAUAAGACUUGUUAAACUGAAAGGAAAGAGAGAUUAGUAUCAGUGAUACGGAACAGACCGUAUGAAGCAAAUGUCUAUGAGCAUAUAUAUAAACUCUUUAAUGAUUACCCAUAAGAUGUUAUUGUUCUAAAUCAAU
Pelobates cultripes (western spadefoot toad) is the source of this 340-nucleotide non-coding RNA. NCBI's taxonomy places the organism in Eukaryota, Metazoa, Chordata, Amphibia, Anura, Pelobatidae. The record is from the annotation of a GenBank genome assembly.